Long non-coding RNA from Esox lucius (northern pike), 562 nucleotides. RefSeq lists it as uncharacterized. The record is from RefSeq and is a predicted model, not a curated record. NCBI's taxonomy places the organism in Eukaryota, Metazoa, Chordata, Actinopteri, Esociformes, Esocidae. The transcript is spliced from 3 exons.
GUUCCACUUGGGGGACAAAUCGAGGAACCCUAUUUAAUCCUUUUUAAUGACAAUACACUAGGCCUAGCACAGUGUUUCCCAAUCCUCGUCCUGCUGACCCCAAGGGUUGCCUGUUUUUUUGUUACUGAUUAACAUUGUUUUUACCGCAGUCAGAUAUAAUGGAUCCAAGAAUACAAAAACAGCGCCAGGACAUCCCUGCACCAGAGGCCGCAGCAGUAUUGAUUAGCAUCAGGCCAUGUACAGUUUACCGGUUGAGGAAACAGCUGUGUCAUGUUUCGGACCCUCCAGAACACUGUGGUUGGACAUAUCGAGGCAGAAAAGGUCAGUGUUUUCACUGACGUGUCUGAUUAUCUUCACGGCUUUCAACCCUCGUCUUCACAAUGCGGCGCAGAGAUCUUAUCCGGAGCGUGUUUUCACCUGCUCGUUCUCGCCGCGACGAGAAAGAGUGCCCCCAUAUGCCUGGAUGUGGUUGAAGUGCCACGCAUAGCGCAGUCAAAAGCCUCCGAGGCCUGUCCGUCACAAAGCCCGUUAGUUUAUUUUGGUUUCUCCCGUGUCCCCCAAA